CGCAUCUGUGCAUGCAGCAUAUCAAUAAGCGGAGGAAAAGAAACUAACAAGGAUUCCCUUAGUAACGGCGAGUGAAGCGGGAAGGAGCUCAAAUUUGAAAUCUUCAAGGUUUCACCUUGACGAAUUGUAGUUUAAAGAAGUGUUUUCUGUUGAAGUUUUGGUAAAAGUUCUUUGGAAUAGGACAUCAUAGAGGGUGAGAAUCCCGUAUUUGACCAUUAUUUUCAGCUGUGUGAUACACUUUCAAAGAGUCGGAUUGUUUGGGAAUGCAGUCCAAAAUGGGUGGUAAAUUUCAUCUAAAGCUAAAUAUUGGCGAGAGACCGAUAGCGAACAAGUACCGUGAGGGAAAGAUGAAAAGAACUUUGAAAAGAGAGUUAAACAGUACGUGAAAUUGUCAAAAGGGAAGCGUUUGACACCAGUGUUGUUUUCUCGAAAAUCAAUUAAAAAGAGUUUGAUUUUGUUGUGUAUUGACCUUAACAGCUUGCAUUUCAAUUUUCUUGCUUUUUUUAAUGCACUUUUCGUUUAACAAGUCAACAUCAGUUUCUUUUGUUGUAAAAAGGUCAUUGGAAGGUGGCUUUCUUUUCGGAGAAAGUGUUUAUAGCCUUUGACUCCUGCAAUCGGAGAGACUGAGGUCUGCAGCGUAGAUCCUUCGGGGUUAGAUACAUUUGUGCUAAGUUAUAGCUUUUUAUAGACAACUUGUUGACUAUGAUUAGUCUUGUAGCUUACUCGCUUAUGCUAUUUUACCUACGCUUAGGAUGUUGACACACGCGCGUGCUCG
This 775-nucleotide ribosomal RNA is filed under the name uncultured Neocallimastigales. RNAcentral's name for it is "partial large subunit ribosomal RNA". It matches the Rfam family "Eukaryotic large subunit ribosomal RNA", at positions 26 to 643 of the family's 3401-position model. The record is from RNAcentral. Lineage: Eukaryota; Fungi; Neocallimastigomycota; Neocallimastigomycetes; Neocallimastigales.